This 256-nucleotide ribosomal RNA is filed under the name uncultured bacterium. RNAcentral describes it as "partial 16S ribosomal RNA". It matches the Rfam family "Bacterial small subunit ribosomal RNA", at positions 524 to 776 of the family's 1533-position model. The record is from RNAcentral.
UACGUAGGGUGCAAGCGUUAUCCGGAAUUAUUGGGCGUAAAGAGCUCGUAGGCGGCGUGUCGCGUCGGGGAGUGAAAGCCCGCUGCUUAACGGCGGGUUGGCUUCCGGUACGGGCAUCGCUGGAGUGCGGCAGGGGAGACUGGAAUUCCUGGUGUAGCGGUGGAAUGCGCAGAUAUCAGGAGGAACACCGGUGGCGAAGGCGGGUCUCUGGGCCGUUACUGACGCUGGAGGAGCGAAAGUGUGGGGAGCGAACAGG